CCCGAACAUAGAGUUCAUCGCUGUUACUAUAAAGUUUAACCCAAAAUUUUUGGGAUAUGAGAAAGCAUCAGCAAUGUCAUUGAGCAAUGGACUACCCAGGUCUAUUGCCCGAUCAUUCUUCAGAGAUGUAGGCCUACAAAGAUGGAUGAUUGUGGGGCGGGUCUAAGACGGAUGACGACAUGGGUUUGGGAAAGGAAAGAGGAGGCAGUGAGGUUGGGGGAGAUUUUGAGGCCGAUAUUGGUUAACAAAGAGGACGUCCAUGGAGUCUGGUUUGGGGGGGGGGGGGGGGGAGAUGAUAAAGAAACUCACCAUCCCUACUCUCGACUCAUAUUAAUUAUGCAGCCCAAAUGCUAAUUUAAACGAUAAGAUCUUUCUUCAACCAUUUACUAGGGAGCUGUGCUCUUUUUUAUAUUUUUGGUUACAGGAUGGUCUAAAAAGACUUGGGAAUUGUGCUCUGUCACAGUAGCUUUGAGCCAUUAUUAUUGAGUCAUUUCUCUUAGCCAUUAUUAUUGAAACUAAAUAUCUUAUUAUUGAGCCAUUUCUAUU
This is a long non-coding RNA of Rosa chinensis, 546 nucleotides long. RefSeq lists it as uncharacterized. Lineage: Eukaryota; Viridiplantae; Streptophyta; Magnoliopsida; Rosales; Rosaceae. The record is from RefSeq and is a predicted model, not a curated record. The transcript has 2 exons.